This 22-nucleotide microRNA is filed under the name Chrysemys picta bellii (western painted turtle). RNAcentral's name for it is "Cpi-Mir-15-P2c_3p* (star (passenger))". Lineage: Eukaryota; Metazoa; Chordata; Testudines; Emydidae. RNAcentral also lists the same sequence under 4 other names. The record is from RNAcentral.
CCAGUAUUGCAUUGCUGCUUUA